AACGAACGCUGGCGGCAUGCCUAACACAUGCAAGUCGAACGAGACCUUCGGGCCUAGUGGCGCACGGGUGCGUAACGCGUGGGAACCUGCCCUUAGGUUCGGAAUAACUCUCCGAAAGGGGUGCUAAUACCGGAUAAUGUCUUCGGACCAAAGAUUUAUCGCCUUUGGAUGGGCCCGCGUUGGAUUAGCUAGUUGGUAGGGUAAAAGCCAACCAAGGCGACGAUCCAUAGCUGGUCUGAGAGGAUGAUCAGCCACACUGGGACUGAGACACGGCCCAGACUCCUACGGGAGGCAGCAGUGGGGAAUAUUGGACAAUGGGCGAAAGCCUGAUCCAGCAAUGCCGCGUGAGUGAUGAAGGCCUUAGGGUUGUAAAGCUCUUUUACCCGGGAUGAUAAUGACAGUACCGGGAGAAUAAGCUCCGGCUAACUCCGUG
Molecule: ribosomal RNA, 433 nt
Filed under: uncultured bacterium
Lineage: Bacteria
Description: partial 16S ribosomal RNA
Rfam family: Bacterial small subunit ribosomal RNA
Source: RNAcentral